CCCCUCCACGUGAGGAGACCUUAGAAGCAUGGCAACCAUAGAAUUUCAUUAGAACCAUGGCAACCAUAGAACUUCAUAAUCCUCUCAGCCAGCCAGCAGCAUUGGCCUCCACAGACACAUCAAAUGGCAGCAGCUCUCCUCCCAGCCACAAAUGGAGCAUGGCCAUCAUCAACUUUGAUAGACAGCCAAGAUGGGGGGGAGGGUGUGUAUGUGUAUGUGUGUGUGUGUGUGUGAUUGUGUGUGAGAGAGAGUGUGUGUGUGGUGUGUGAGAGAGAGAGAGUGAGAGAGAGAGAGAGAGUGUGUGAGUGUGAGAGAGAGAGAGAGAGAGAGAGAGAGAGAGAGAGUGUGAGAGUGUGUGUGUGUGUGUGUGUGUGUGAGACCUGCUACUCUUUUUCAGCGUGAGGUUGUUGGCUCCAGAGGUUUGCCAGUUUUUCUGCUUCAUGCGUAUUAAACAUGAACCAUACUGGGAGAUGGUAAUGAGAACAGAACAGUUAACGCUCUCUGCCUGGGUCCUGUUGGAGCAUGCUGUAUGUGAGUGGGUGUGUCUGCACAUGUGCCUGUGUUUCUCCAACUGUUCCUCAGAGUACUGUAUUAUGUGUGUGUGUGUGUGAUCAUAAAGUUAGUGCUGAAGCUGAUGAGAUCAGGCUGAAGCUGAUGAGAUCCACUGUGCUGUGCUGAGAUGAGAUCCACUGUGCUGAGAUCCACUGUGCUGAGAUCCACUGUGUUGAGAUGAGAUCCACUGUGCUGUGCUGAGAUCCACUGUGCUGAGAUGAGAUCCACUGUGCUGAGAUGAGAUCCACUGUGCUGAGAUGAGAUCCACUGUGUUGAGAUGAGAUCCACUGUGCUGAGAAGAGAUCCACUGUGCUGAGAUGAAAUCCACUGUGCUGAGAUGAGGUCCACUGUGCUGAGAUGAAAUCCACUGUGCUGAGAUGAGGUCCACUAUGCUGAGAUCCACUGUGCUGAGAUGAGAUCCACUGUGCUGAGAUGAGAUCCACUGUGCUGAGAUGAGAUCCACUGUGAUGAGAUGAGAUGAGAUCCACUGUGUUGAGAUGAGAUCCACUGUGUUGAGAUGAGAUCCACUGUGCUGAGAUGAGAUCCACUGUGCUGAGAUGAGAUCCACUGUGCUGAGAUCCACUGUGUUGUGAUGAGAUCCACUGUGCAGAGAUGAAAUCCACUGUGCUGAGAUGAAAUCCACUGUGCUGAGAUGAGAUCCACUGUGCUGAGAUGAGAUCCACUGUGCUGAGAUGAGAUCCACUGUGCUGAGAUCCACUGUGCUGAGAUCCACUGUGCUGAGAUCCACUGUGCUGAGAUGAGAUCCACUGUGCUGAGAUGAGAUCCACUGUGCUGAGAUGAGAUCCACUGUGCUGAGAUGAGAUCCACUGUGUUGAGAUGAGAUCCACUGUUGAGAUGAGAUCCACUGUUGAGAUGAGAUCCACUGUGUUGAGAUGAGAUCCACUGUGUUGAGAUGAGAUCCACUGUGUUGAGAUGAGAUCCACUGUGUUGAGAUGAGAUGAGAUCCACUGUGUUGAGAUGAGAUGAGAUCCACUGUGUUGAGAUGAGAUCCACUGUGCUGAGAUGAGAUCCACUGUGCUGAGCUGAAAUCCACUGUGUUGAGAUGAGGUCCACUAUGCUGAGAUCCACUGUGUUGAGAUGAGAUCCACUGUGCUGAGCUGAAAUCCACUGUGUUGAGAUGAGGUCCACUAUGCUGAGAUCCACUGUGUUGAGAUGAGAUCCACUGUGUUGAGAUGAGAUCCACUGUGCUGAGAUGAGAUCCACUGUGCUGAGAUGAGAUCCACUGUGCUGAGAUGAAAUCCACUGUGUUGAGAUGAGGUCCACUAUGCUGAGAUCCACUGUGUUGAGAUGAGAUCCACUGUGCUGAGAUGAGAUCCACUGUGCUGAGAUGAGAUCCACUGUGUUGAGAUGAGAUCCACUGUGUUGAGAUGAGAUCCACUGUGUUGAGAUGAGAUCCACUGUGCUGAGAUGAGAUCCACUGUGCUGAGAUGAGAUCCAGUGUACUGAGAUGAGGUCCACUGUGUUGAGAUGAGGUCCACUGUGCUGAGAUGAGAUCCACUGUGCUGAGAUGAGAUCCACUGUGCUGAGAUCCACUGUGCUGAGAUCCACUGUGCUGAGAUCCACUGUGCUGAGAUCCACUGUGCUGAGAUGAGAUCCACUGUGCUGAGAUGAGAUCCACUGUGCUGAGAUGAGAUCCACUGUGCUGAGAUGAGAUCCACUGUGUUGAGAUGAGAUCCACUGUUGAGAUGAGAUCCACUGUUGAGAUGAGAUCCACUGUGUUGAGAUGAGAUCCACUGUGUUGAGAUGAGAUCCACUGUGUUGAGAUGAGAUCCACUGUGUUGAGAUGAGAUGAGAUCCACUGUGUUGAGAUGAGAUGAGAUCCACUGUGUUGAGAUGAGAUCCACUGUGUUGAGAUGAGAUCCACUGUGCUGAGAUGAGAUCCACUGUGCUGAGCUGAAAUCCACUGUGUUGAGAUGAGGUCCACUAUGCUGAGAUCCACUGUGUUGAGAUGAGAUCCACUGUGUUGAGAUGAGAUCCACUGUGCUGAGAUGAGAUCCACUGUGCUGAGAUGAGAUCCACUGUGCUGAGAUGAAAUCCACUGUGUUGAGAUGAGAUCCAGUGUACUGAGAUGAGGUCCACUGUGUUGAGAUGAGGUCCACUGUGCUGAGAUGAGAUCCACUGUGCUGAGAUGAGAUCCACUGUGCUGAGAUGAGAUCCACUGUGUUGAGAUGAGAUCCACUGUGUUGAGAUGAGAUCCACUGUACUGAGAUGAGGUCCACUGUGUUGAGAUGAGGUCCACUGUGUUGAGAUGAGGUCCACUGUGUUGAGAUGAGGUCCACUGUGUUGAGAUGAGGUCCACUGUGUUGAGAUGAGCCUGCUAGGCUAAAUUCUGGUUAACACUUUUGGACUGUGUCGCAUUUCACUCUCACCCCUGGUCUCUCUCUCCCCAAGUCUCUCUCUCUGAAUUUAAUUAAAUUCACUAUCUCUCUACAGUCUCUCUCUCUACAGUCUCUCUCUCUACAGUCUCUCUCUCUACAGUCUCUCUCUCUAGUCUCUCUCUCUACAGUCUCUCUCUCUACAGUCUCUCUCUCUACAGUCUCUCUCUCUACAGUCUCUCUCUCUACAGUCUCUCUCUCUACAGUCUCUCUCUCUACAGUCUCUCUCUCUACAGUCUCUCUCUCUUUCUCACCUGCGGUGUCUCUUGAUGAGAAGUCUGUCCAUGUAACUGAGACUGUGUUGGGUGAACUCCACCUUCACUGGUCUUCUCUCAGCCCCACUGUCACUCAGGUCUGACUGGGUCCCCAUCACUUCCACUGAUACUACACGGAGAGAGAGAGAGAGAGAGUAAAAGAAAAGAGAGAAGGGAGAUUUGGAGAAGGGGAAGGGGAGAAAGGGAGUUGGGCGGAAAGAGAAAGAAAGGCAGAGACAGAAAAGGUAAGGAGAAGGAGAAGGGAUGGACAGAGGGAGAAAGAGAGGCAGAGGGAGAAAGAGAGGCAGAGGGAGAAGGGAUGGACAGAGGGAGAAAGAGAGGCAGAGGGAGAAAGAGAGGCAGACACGUUAUGGCACUACUCUGGACACAUUUGGUGCAAUGCCAGCUUUACAUUAGGUUUCCCUGCCAAUGGGUUGACAGAAGAAAUGAGGCAAAAUGCAGAAAUAAAGGGAGUGAAGCAAAGUCUGUACAAGCAUUAGAGAACUAAUAAAACGGCCAAACACAUUCUCAAGUUAGGCUGCUAUCACUGCUAUCAUUAUCUCUACAGUGGAACCCCUCCUAUCACUGCUAUCAUUAUCUCUAUAGUGGAACCCCUCCUAUCACUGCUAUCAUUAUC
RNAcentral lists this long non-coding RNA (3839 nucleotides) under Salmo salar (Atlantic salmon). RNAcentral describes it as "lncRNA (ENSSSAG00000113138.1)". The record is from RNAcentral. Lineage: Eukaryota; Metazoa; Chordata; Actinopteri; Salmoniformes; Salmonidae.